RNAcentral lists this ribosomal RNA (435 nucleotides) under Triticum aestivum (bread wheat). Its description in RNAcentral is "partial small subunit ribosomal RNA". Lineage: Eukaryota; Viridiplantae; Streptophyta; Magnoliopsida; Poales; Poaceae. The record is from RNAcentral.
AUGCAACUACCUACCCCCUCUUUCGACACCCACCUACAAAACAAAUGUGUAGACAUGCAGUUGCAGUCGAGGGUGAUACUUGCAAUUGCAAGCCUAGUGUCGGACAUGCAACUACCCACCCCCUCUUUCGACGCCUACCUACAAAAGAAAAGGUCGGUUGCGGUUGGGUGUGUGGACAUGCAGUUGCAGUCAAGGGCGAUACUUGCAGUUGCAAGCCUUGUGUCGGACAUGCAAAUGCCCCCUCCUUCUCUCAGCGCCCUCCAACAAAAUCACAAGGCUAGUUGCAUUUUGGGAGGGAGACAUGCAAUUGCAAACGGGGCGACACUUGCAGUUGCAAGGCCUAAUGUUGGACAUGCAACUGCCCCCUCUUCCACGGCUGAUUUACAAAACAAAGGCCGGUUGCAGUCAGGUGUGGGCAUGCAGUUGCGUGCCUAG